RNAcentral lists this microRNA precursor (82 nucleotides) under Stegodyphus mimosarum. RNAcentral describes it as "mir-124 microRNA precursor family". The stretch from base 5 to 77 matches the Rfam family "mir-124 microRNA precursor family". Rfam says of the family: The mature ~21nt miRNAs are processed from hairpin precursor sequences represented here, in this case originating from the 3' arm. The bounds of the precursors are predicted based on conservation and base pairing and are not generally known. The record is from RNAcentral. Lineage: Eukaryota; Metazoa; Arthropoda; Arachnida; Araneae; Eresidae.
GUCUAACUCUCCGUAUUCACUGUAUGCCUUGAUGUGGUUUUUUCCGAUCAUAAGGCACGCGGUGAAUGCCAAGAGGAAGAUU